GGUGGUAGUGUUAAUAGCACUAUCAUUUGACGUUAGCGACAGAAGAAGCACCGGCUAACUCCGUGCCAGCAGCCGCGGUAAUACGGAGGGUGCGAGCGUUAAUACGGAAUUACGUGGGACGUAAAGCGCAUGCAGGUGGUUUGUUAAGUCAGAUGUAGAAACGGCCCCGGGGCUACCAACCCUACGGUAAUUGCUAUUUAGAAACUGGCAGACUAGAGUACUGUAGAGGGGGUAGAAUUUCAGGUGUAGCGGUGAAAUGCGUAGAGAUCUGAAGGAAUACCGGUGGCGAAGGCGGCCCCCUGGACAGAUACUGACACUCAGAUGCGAAAGCGUGGGGAGCAAACAGGAUUAGACACCCUGGUAG
RNAcentral lists this ribosomal RNA (364 nucleotides) under uncultured bacterium. RNAcentral's name for it is "bacterial SSU rRNA". It matches the Rfam family "Bacterial small subunit ribosomal RNA", at positions 444 to 793 of the family's 1533-position model. The record is from RNAcentral.